GACGAACGCUGGCGGCGUGCUUAACACAUGCAAGUCGAGCGGUAAGGCCCUUUCGGGGGUACACGAGCGGCGAACGGGUGAGUAACACGUGGGUGACCUGCCCUCAGCUCUGGGAUAAGCCUGGGAAACUGGGUCUAAUACUGGAUAUGACUCCACGGUGCAUGUCGUGGGGUGGAAAGCCUUGUGCGGCUGAGGAUGGGCCCGCGGCCUAUCAGCUUGUUGGUGGGGUGANGGCCUACCAAGGCGACGACGGGUAGCCGGCCUGAGAGGGCGACCGGCCACACUGGGACUGAGACACGGCCCAGACUCCGUACGGGAGGCAGCAGUGGGGAAUCUUGCGCAAUGGGCGAAAGCCUGACGCAGCGACGCCGCGUGAGGGAUGGACGG
This 387-nucleotide ribosomal RNA is filed under the name uncultured bacterium. RNAcentral describes it as "bacterial SSU rRNA". It matches the Rfam family "Bacterial small subunit ribosomal RNA", at positions 28 to 415 of the family's 1533-position model. The record is from RNAcentral.